GACGAACGCUGGCGGCGUGCUUAACACAUGCAAGUCGAACGGAAAGGCCCUGCUUUUGUGGGGUGCUCGAGUGGCGAACGGGUGAGUAACACGUGAGUAACCUGCCCUUGACUUUGGGAUAACUUCAGGAAACUGGGGCUAAUACCGGAUAGGAGCUCCUGCUGCAUGGUGGGGGUUGGAAAGUUUCGGCGGUUGGGGAUGGACUCGCGGCUUAUCAGCUUGUUGGUGGGGUAGUGGCUUACCAAGGCUUUGACGGGUAGCCGGCCUGAGAGGGUGACCGGCCACAUUGGGACUGAGAUACGGCCCAGACUCCUACGGGAGGCAGCAGUGGGGAAUAUUGCACAAUGGGCAGAAGCCUGAUGCAGCAACGCCGCGUGCGGAAUGACGGCCUUCGGGUUGUAAACCGCUUUCGCCUGUGACGAAGCGUGAGGGACGGUAAUGGGUAAAGAAGCACCGGCUAACUACGU
Molecule: ribosomal RNA, 467 nt
Filed under: uncultured bacterium
Lineage: Bacteria
Description: partial 16S ribosomal RNA
Rfam family: Bacterial small subunit ribosomal RNA
Source: RNAcentral